UUGGAGGGCAAGUCUGGUGCCAGCAGCCGCGGUAAUUCCAGCUCCAAUAGCGUAUAUUAAAGUUGUUGCAGUUAAAAAGCUCGUAGUUGAAUUUCGGGAUCGAUGCGUCGGUCGUGCCUUCGGUACGUACUGGCGUCAUCGAUUCCUCCCUUCUUGAAGAACCGUGAUGUCAUUAAUUUGGUGUUACGGGGAAUCAGGACUGUUACCUUGAAAAAAUUAGAGUGUUUAAAGCAGGCUAACGCUUGAAUACAUUAGCAUGGAAUAAUGAAAUAGGACGUUCGAACCUAUUUUGUUGGUUUCUAGGAUCGACGUAAUGAUUAAUAGGGAUAGUUGGGGGCAUUAGUAUUCAAUUGUCAGAGGUGAAAUUCUUGGAUUUAUUGAAGACUAACUACUGCGAAAGCAUUUGCCGAGGAUGUUUUCAUUAAUCAAGAACGAAAGUUAGGGGAUCGAAGACGAUCAGAUACCGUCGUAGUCUUAACCAUAAACUAUGCCGACUAGGGAUCGGAUGAUGCUUAUUUUUUAAUGACUCAUUCGGCGCCUUACGGGAAAC
RNAcentral lists this ribosomal RNA (550 nucleotides) under uncultured Glomus. RNAcentral's name for it is "SSU rRNA". It matches the Rfam family "Eukaryotic small subunit ribosomal RNA", at positions 548 to 1098 of the family's 1831-position model. The record is from RNAcentral. Lineage: Eukaryota; Fungi; Glomeromycota; Glomeromycetes; Glomerales; Glomeraceae.